GUAUUCACCUCAUUAUGGUUUCAUGUUUACAAGACUGAUUUUUUUCCCCCAAUUGCAUUGGUGUUUUCUAAAUGUUCAUGCUUUCGCUAAAAAAGAAAAAUUAUGGCUUUUCAAUUAAUGAUGAGGCCACUUUAUAUCAUAUUGUUACCCCUCAAAAUGAUGCUCUACAUAACAUAUGGUUUGUGUACUCUUAAUUACUAUUCUAGUU
Molecule: unclassified non-coding RNA, 208 nt
Filed under: Hevea brasiliensis (rubber tree)
Lineage: Eukaryota; Viridiplantae; Streptophyta; Magnoliopsida; Malpighiales; Euphorbiaceae
Source: RNAcentral